AUCACUUUCAGCCUUUUGGCUAAGAUCAAGUGCAGUAUCUGUUCUCAUCAGUAAUAUCUGAUCUGUCCUUUAUCUGAGGACGAUAUAUUAGGUGGAUUUUUUUUUUUGUCUUUUUCCUUUUUAUCGGUACCAGGGAUCAAACUCACGACUG
Cavia aperea (Brazilian guinea pig) is the source of this 151-nucleotide small nuclear RNA. Its record names the gene U2. It matches the Rfam family "U2 spliceosomal RNA". From Rfam's summary of the family: U2 is a small nuclear RNA (snRNA) component of the spliceosome (involved in pre-mRNA splicing). Lineage: Eukaryota; Metazoa; Chordata; Mammalia; Rodentia; Caviidae. The record is from Ensembl.